Long non-coding RNA from Hyla sarda, 1739 nucleotides. RefSeq lists it as uncharacterized. The transcript is spliced from 3 exons. Lineage: Eukaryota; Metazoa; Chordata; Amphibia; Anura; Hylidae. The record is from RefSeq and is a predicted model, not a curated record.
UGGGUGGAGCCACUGCCACAGAUACUUACGACAGCUCCUUGUUAGCGGAGGUUCAGUAUCGCCUGCCGAGUGCAAAGAGUUAACAAGGAACGACAAGAAAAAGGAUGAAUAAAGUUGGUUCCUUUGAUCAUAGCUCUACAGUUAAUACACGACAAACAGGGAAAGGAUCCCAAUUUCUUACUAGUAAGGGAAACUGCCCCCGGAGGGAUAUUGUCAAGGAAAAGCUGUCACUUUUACAGUAGAGAUGAACCAUGUUUGGCAAACCAGUCAAGAAAUUUGGACCAGAAUAUAAAAUGGGUAAAAAGUUUCCUUUAUUUCUCAUUUCACCAAGCUUCUUUGAAGUACAAAUGAAAGUAGGAAUUCUGAACACUGACAAAGCUUUUCUGGAGUUCCAUAAUAGUAAGAAAUGUGGGAGUCACUGCUCUAGAGGUAAUAUAUGAUAGAUCAGCCAUAUCGAUUUGAAGGGCAUGUAACCUGUGAAUACAGCCCGUUGGUUUAUACUUGUUGGCCAAAUCUUAUUACUCCCAACACCCCCAUGCACACAUAGAUCGUCCAUGUUCUUAAUAGGAAUAUGGGAAAAUACCAUUGCCAGACCUCUAUGGCAUUGGCUUAUCUACUUUGAAACCCAACACGUCCGAUCUUUCCUUUCUUUAAUAUCUACUGUAAAUGUAUUUUCAUUAUCUCUAUUAGCUUCUACCGCAGGACAACCAGCCGACAAGACCUUCGGGCUUGAGUGGAUCAUUCUCCAACGUAAUACCCUUAAGGGGUGAUAUGCGUGCUAUGGGGGAGAUUUAUCAAAACCUGUCCAGAGGAAAAGUUGCCCAGUUACCCAUAGCAACCAAUCAGCUUGUUUCUUUCAUUUUUAACAAGGCCUCUGCAAAAUGAAAGAAGCAAUCUGAUUGGUUGCUAUGGGCAACUGGGAAAAUUUUCUUUUACACAGGUUUUGAUAAAGCUGCCCCAGUGUGUUCACUUGAGGUGAGCAGCUAAUUCAUAAAGCCUGCAUGCAGGUAACCCCAUAAUCAGGGCCCCAUAUAACUUGGGUAAUAUGCAAUGUGCUGCUGAUCUAUUUGCAGAUUUAGGGAAGUGUUUGGACACCCCAUACAUCCCAUAAUCGUGUCUCACUGAGGUGUAUCUAACAUUUUUGGUACAUUGUUAUGGGUGUGAUCGGUCAGCGUAUUCAAUUGGGUAGCUUCUCUCGCUACAGGCCUCCCUUAGGGUUUGGAUUCCUUGACUAAAGAGGAUUUUAGAUACAUUCCCCCCACUGAUUUACACCACCCUCUUUCCCAUAAAUACAUGUAUAUUGUGGUAAAAUGGGCAGGGAGGCCCAUUUAUUUAACAACCAUAAAUAACAGUUAAAUACAUUAUAACAUAUAAACAUUACCAAAGUUCACUAAACUUAAACACUUGCCCUAAAGGGCCCCUGGAAGGCCCUCCCCUCCAACAACAAAAAAAAACCUGUGCACUAUGCUCUUACCCCUGGCCACAAUCCUCUAACCCAAGGGCACCCAGGUAACCUUGUGCACAUUGCCACAGACUCCUGAGGCCCAGAACCACCACCAGGAGGCCCAGUUAAACAACAUCAUAACAUCUGACUAUUACCUCCAAGGACCCUUCCACUUGCCACCCAACCCUGAACACCAACCCAACCGAAUAAAAAAGGGUUCCUGCUUCCACAUGCCGACUGUUAAGUACAUCCCCUGGGGCAUCCCCUAAAUAUAACCUCUCCCUCCCCACCCCCU